This 253-nucleotide ribosomal RNA is filed under the name uncultured bacterium. RNAcentral's name for it is "partial 16S ribosomal RNA". It matches the Rfam family "Bacterial small subunit ribosomal RNA", at positions 524 to 776 of the family's 1533-position model. The record is from RNAcentral.
GACGAAGGAUGCAAGCGUUAUCCGGAUUCAUUGGGUUUAAAGGGUGCGUAGGCGGCUCGCCAAGUCAGGGGUGAAAUACUUCAGCUUAACUGGAGAAGUGCCCUUGAUACUGGCGGGCUCGAGGGAGGUAGGGGCAUGUGGAACUUCUGGUGGAGCGGUGAAAUGCGUUGAUAUCAGAAGGAACGCCGGUGGCGAAAGCGACGUGCUGGACCUCUUCUGACGCUGAGGCGCGAAAGCUAGGGGAGCAAACGGG